RNAcentral lists this unclassified non-coding RNA (336 nucleotides) under soil metagenome. RNAcentral's name for it is "partial contains 5.8S ribosomal RNA, internal transcribed spacer 2, and large subunit ribosomal RNA". The stretch from base 1 to 120 matches the Rfam family "5.8S ribosomal RNA", at positions 35 to 154 of the family's 154-position model. The record is from RNAcentral.
GAUGAAGAACGCAGCGAAAUGCGAUAAGUAAUGUGAAUUGCAGAAUUCAGUGAAUCAUCGAAUCUUUGAACGCACAUUGCGCCCGCCAGUAUUCUGGCGGGCAUGCCUGUUCGAGCGUCAUUUCAACCAUCAAGCCCCAGGCUUGUGUUGGGGACCUGCGGCUGCCGCAGGCCCUGAAAACCAGUGGCGGGCUCGCUGUCACGCCGGGCGUAGUAGAUUUUAUCUCGCUCAGGGCGUGCUGCGGGUUCCGGCCGUUAAAAAGCCUUUUUUACCCAAGGUUGACCUCGGAUCAGGUAGGAAGACCCGCUGAACUUAAGCAUAUCAAUAAGCGGAGGA